CCAAUAGCGUAUAUUAAAGUUGUUGCAGUUAAAAAGCUCGUAGUUGAAUUUCGGGAUUCAUCCGUUGGUCGGGCUUCACGGUCCGUACUGGUGUGAUGGGUUCCUACCUUCUGAAUAACCGGCAUGCCAUUAAUUUGGUGCGCCGGGGAAGCAGAACUAUUACCUUGAAAAAAUUAGAGUGCUUAAAGCAGGCAAGUGCCUGAAUAGGUUAGCAUGGAAUAAUAAAAUAGGACGGCAUGGUUCUAUUUUGUUGGUUUCUAGGAUCACCGUAAUGAUUAAUAGGGAUAGUUGGGGGCAUUAGUAUUCAAUUGUCAGAGGUGAAAUUCUUGGAUUUAUUGAAGACUAACUUCUGCGAAAGCAUUUGCCAAGGAUGUUUUCAUUAAUCAAGAACGAAAGUUAGGGGAUCGAAGACGAUCAGAUACCGUCGUAGUCUUAACCAUAAACUAUGCCGACUAGGGAUCGGACGAUGUUAAUUUUUUAAUGACUCGUUCGGCGCCUUACG
This 502-nucleotide ribosomal RNA is filed under the name uncultured Acaulospora. RNAcentral's name for it is "SSU rRNA". It matches the Rfam family "Eukaryotic small subunit ribosomal RNA", at positions 591 to 1092 of the family's 1831-position model. The record is from RNAcentral. Lineage: Eukaryota; Fungi; Glomeromycota; Glomeromycetes; Diversisporales; Acaulosporaceae.